Molecule: long non-coding RNA, 1023 nt
Filed under: Capsicum annuum
Lineage: Eukaryota; Viridiplantae; Streptophyta; Magnoliopsida; Solanales; Solanaceae
Description: long non-coding RNA (CANN_LNC017420)
Source: RNAcentral
UCUUCACACUUUUAAUAUAUUAUAGAUAUAGAUAUAGAUAAUUUCUUUAAUAGUUAUGUUGUUAAAUUAAGCCUCUUUCCAUAAAUGUUCUAAUCCUUAAGGAUUAAUUGUUGAUUGUUGUAUGCAUUGUCGAAACUAAUAGGACUUUGUUGUAAAUAAUAUUAUAAUUGUAUAUGAUUAUAACUUUAAUUUUCUCCUUUCUGAGUAUCAAUAUACACACCUCCAUCACCUCCUCAUUGAUCAUGCCCAACUUCAAGAUCUUACCCCUUCAUUGUUAUUGUUAAUAUUAUGUUAUGACUAUAUUUUGUAUGUCCCUGAAGGCUAUGGAAAGAGGCAUAGGAUCUCAUAUUGUGUGCACUUGAUAUUUGGAAGAAUAAGAAAAAGCUUUCCUCUUUUGUAUUCUUAAUUUCUUGUCUACUUUCUUCUUUUGUAUUAUUAUUAUGAGUUUGAUUUUACAACACAUAAUCAACAAGAGCUUCAAUUUCAUUUACAUCGAUAAGAAGAAGUUGAAUUCUAUUAUUUUUUGCAAUAUUGCUCUUCUGAGUGUUGAAAGGCUUAUACAACAUGUACAAUUUAUUAUGAAGAUUUUAAUUUAAUUGGAUUAUUCUAUCUUUGAAUGAUCUUGAUGAUUUUUGUAUCACAUCACUAACUGAUAUCUUUAUUGGCAUAUUAUCUUGACCCGAUCGAAAUAAUGCACAACAUAUAGUGGUCUUUGUGACUAUUUUUUUUAAAUUUAUUAUUUUUUAUAGAGAGUCGCCGCCUAAAUGUUUUCAUUUUUUGUGAUAAAAGCUCUAUCUUGGUCUGCGAAAGCUAGUGAAAUUGUGAGUAAGGGUUUUAGCUACUCGAAGGAAAGGUGUUGAGCACCCCUAAGAGCAUAUUCAAAGACAAUCCUUAAACUAAAUUUAGGAAAAAUAUUUGAAAAAAUCUUUACUUUAUUAUUUUCUAAAAAUAGUAAUAAGAAAACAUUUAUUAUUAUCACAUUCUUUUUUUGAAAAAGAAAACUUAAGGUAUAGAAGAUGUAAC